Molecule: ribosomal RNA, 434 nt
Filed under: uncultured bacterium
Lineage: Bacteria
Description: partial 16S ribosomal RNA
Rfam family: Bacterial small subunit ribosomal RNA
Source: RNAcentral
AGCGAACGCUGGCGGCAGGCCUAACACAUGCAAGUCGAACGAACCUUUCGGGGUUAGUGGCGGACGGGUGAGUAACACGUGGGAACGUGCCUUUAGGUUCGGAAUAACUCAGGGAAACUUGUGCUAAUACCGAAUGUGCCCUUCGGGGGAAAGAUUAAUCGCCUUUAGAGGGGCCCGCGUCUGAUUAGCUAGUUGGUUGAGGUAAUGGCUCACCAAGGCGACGAUCAGUAGCUGGUCGGAGAGGAUGAUCAGCCACAUUGGGACGGAGACACGGCCCAGACUCGUACGGGGGGAAGCAGGGGGGAAUAGUGGACGAUGGGCGAAAGCCUGAUCCAGCAAUGCCGCGUGAGUGAUGAAGGCCGGAGGGUGGUAAAGCGCUUGUACCGGGGAUGAUAAGGACAGUACCGGGAGAAUAAGCUCCGGCUAACUCCGUG